RNAcentral lists this long non-coding RNA (477 nucleotides) under Homo sapiens (human). RNAcentral's name for it is "HSALNT0403240". Lineage: Eukaryota; Metazoa; Chordata; Mammalia; Primates; Hominidae. The record is from RNAcentral.
AGAGGGGUUGAGUCAAGAUGGCGGCCUGGAAGUAGCUCCUGCGCGCUGCUCUCACAGGGAGGAGACAAAGGGCUGGUGAACACUGACCCUACAAGCUGAUAUCUAAGAAACCGUGUCGGACUCGAUCAAGGCAGCAAGCCGACACAGAGAACAGAGAGGAGUGCAGCUGGGCAGCAGCCUGUCUGGGAUAAACGCGGAGCCAGGAGAAGCUCCCCAACACAGGAAAGGGAUUUGAACAACUUGCAAAUACACCAUGCUGGACACACUAAGAUAAGCAAAAUCAAACUUAUCCUGAAACUGAAUAUAUAGACGUACUUUAUCUGGAGAGACUCUUGCAAGUGAUAUUGAGCACUAUGACACAUAGCGAGAAUACCAUGUGAAGAUUAAAGAAGACAUUGAGAUGCCUUAGCAGAAGUCAACAAAUGCCAAACAUUGCCAGCCCACCACCGGUAGCUAGGAAAAAGACAUGAAACUGAU